This 82-nucleotide non-coding RNA is filed under the name Asterionellopsis glacialis. The record is from RNAcentral. Lineage: Eukaryota; Bacillariophyta; Plagiogrammaphyceae; Rhaphoneidales; Asterionellopsidaceae.
AUCUCACACAGUCGUAACUUUCUUUCUUUCUUUCUUUCUUUUGUUCUUUCUUUCGUUCUUCGGAUUCCUAACCGUUCAGAUC